ACCCAAAAAGUAUGGGUUGAGUCGGGUUGGGUUGAUAGGUUGAAUUUCCAUUUUUUAUCUCUCCAUAAUUUUGAAAAAUUGUUCAAGGUGACAUCUAUAUGCUAUACAUUCAAAUUCGAAGUAUACAAUGUCCAUUCAAAAUGAUGUUUACUUUUAGAUUUUAGGUUUAUAUAUAUAUACACACACAUAAUCGGUUGGAAUAGGUCAACCCAACUCCUUACGUACACAACCUGGUUCAACUUUUUCUCUCUCCAAUUUUUUAACUAAACCCAACCCUUAUAGUUUGGGUUUGAUAAUUUGGGUUGGUUGGGUUAUCGGUUUUUUUAAACACCCUUAAUAUAGUUUUAAAUUUCAAUCUAAUUUAAAUAAAUGAUAUAUUAUAAUGUAUGUAUAAACAUUAUAUUAAACUAUAUCAUAUACAAUAAAUUCUCUUAAAUAAUAAUUUGAACACUUCAAAUUUACAACAUCUAGAUCUUUGUUUAAUUUUGUUAUAGCUAGCCGUUUCUCUUACGGAACUACCAUUAUAAGCUCCAAUAAUACAACAUUAAUUAACUAUGAGACACUACACUAUAGAUCCAUAGAUGCACUCUCAAGAUCCGUAAAAUACUUAUAUGUUCGCUAAUUUUUCACAAUUUUUUGUAAGUCAAUUCUUUCUAGGUUGUUCGUAAUUAUAAGUGACUUUUGAGUCAACACUUACCCUAAAGGAAUUAAUAAGUGAAUUUUGCCUUGUGGCACUAUUCUCAGCUCCCCACUCGGUAUUAUCCUCAAGAUGGUAAACUUAAUUGAGUCAACAACCAGGAUCACUCUCACACCCACACAAAUCAAAAUCAAAGAACAACCCUCGUGAGCUUUUUGUAUAUAACUCACUUAGAAUUCAAAUCAAGUUACAUAGUUAUCGUUUAAAAUAUUAAUUUAUUCAGUUAGGGGAGUUAUAACUGACUACCAUCUGCAUCUAGUUAUGUCAUGAUAGUAAGUAUAUCGUACUCGAUUACAAACUAUUUACAAUUGACUAUAAUAUUUUACUAUAUUUGUAAAUAUUUGAUUUAUUUUGGUGUAUAUGAAAACAAUAACUAUGUAUUCACACAAAAUCUUCACACAAAAUCUCAAAAUUAUGAGUAAAAAAUGAAAUGUAAAAUACAAUUUAUAUCUGACAACUCACUGAGACAUGGAAAAGAGUGUAACACUAGACAUUAUCUGAAUCAUAUAUGAAGUCUCACAUACAUAUCCUCAAGAAAAACAAUACAAAAAGACUGUUCAGUUGCAACUAAUGAUGAAUAUUCAUAGUUGAACUUUGAUCAAACACUAAAGAUUUCUUUUACCCUAAAUCCUAAGGGAUAAAAAAAAUCAUGUUAAGUAGAAAAAGAAAAAGAAAAAGAAAAAGAAAAAGAAAAAGAAAAACCCUGAACAUCCCCAUUUUCAUAUGCAUAUUAUAACACAGAACCAAUAAUUACAACUUGAGUACAAACUUUUAUUGGUAUGUCCUUUCCAAUUGAUAGGACCCCUUUUUGAUAGUAACAAAUUUCUGGAUUCAUCAUCAUCAUGGUCAUCAGCUCAAGUUCUUUUUUUUUUUUUUUUUUUCCUUUUUAAAUAAAUUUUUAUAGAGUAUAAAUCUCCUUCCUGUUAACACAAGAUGAUGUAAAAAAUAGAAAUAUCAGGUUGGGAAAAAAAUGGUGAAGCUUCCAAGUAAAAAUCCAAGUAUUCAAAACUGUCUUCUUCCAAGACAUCAUCAUUUAGGCCUACCAGGCUGAAAUCAGGUUGUGAAGAAAUUAUUCGGAUCAAUGGAAGCGAUCGGUCAUAAACACGAAAGUAAGAGCUAAGAUGAAGAUAAGUGACAUGAAAACGUCGCAAGAACGGUGGUGGGCUGAACUUGCCGUGGGAAUAUCCUUUGGAAGCGCACAUUCUUCGCCAUUGAAAAAGACUUUGUUCGGGAAACCAUCGCCCCGUAGUAUGUCGAGGUUGCGUAUACCCUUCUUGGUGAAAGAAAUAACAGAUUGUUGCUUUCCAGGAACUCUUGGAUCAGUUUUAGGAUUGGUCCCAUUAACCUCACCCAUCAAGUAAGCUAAACCAGGCAAACCUUGAAGGAAGAUUGUAUUUUUUAUUUUGGGAAGCCGGGUUCCAUUGAAGGAAUAAACGUUUUCGUAACCCCUACCGGCCUUGUUUAACUGAAUGGCAGUAAACCAAUCUUCAAAUGGAUAAUCUUCCCAAUUGAAGAGUGUUAAUCUUGCAGACCAUCCAUUAGUAUAAUCAGAGUUGAUAUGCCAAUUUAUGCUAACCCCACAAUUAUCAGGACAGGGCAGCUUUUUGGGAUUUCGGUAAUGCUUAAUUUUAGCCCAAGCUCUAGCUUUGGCUGACCUGUUGGAAAAUGGAACCAAAAGUGCUUCUGGAGGUAGGAGCAUUGAAUGUGCAUUUGGAUUGCAAGUAUCAGUAUCAAUAUCGUCACACCCACAAGCACAAGUAUUGCAUGGAAUAACAGAGUCAUUAUAAUAAGCUGAAAAUGAAACACAGCAUUUUGAUUGCUUCACCUUUGGCCUUGUAAUGUUGCAUAUAAUUUGCCAACUUGCAAUUGAGGUACUCGUUGAUUGAAGUCCACUCGGGUCAGGGAACUCCGUUGGUUCAACUCGGAGUGGUGCAGCACAAACGUAUUUCGGAUUCAGAACUCCAGAGAUCUUCCAUUUCUGUGGCGGAUUAAGGGCGGUUCUGUUCAUAUCCGGUGGAAGCUUAUAGACUUGUAGUUGAAAAAUAGACCUUGCUUUACUCUCAUCCAUUAAUGUUGGCAAUAAGCUUCCAUUCCUACAACAAUACGGCAACUUGCCGACUUUAUCAUCAUUGAUACGAUCGGCUGGAAGGUCGGCGAUUAUGGGUCGCUUAUCGCAACUCAUGACUUGAGAGAAGUCGAAAUCUUGAUAGUAUUGGCCAGCGGUACCAUAAACGCAUUGAGAUAAAUCUCUCGUAUGAGUGUAAGCUCCUCUCAUGCUUUGAAUGAAUUCUCCUCUCAUCCAUUCCCAAGUUAAGUUCCAAUGAUCGAGACGGCCAAGAGGAUUGUUGUUGUCUAUUGUAACUUGAGCGAGAUAAUUAUUUCCAUAAGCUUGCAUUACAUCGUAAGUGAGUGAGAGGUCUCCAUUUUGGCGAGCGAAAAAUUUGGUCUUUUUUUCUUUCUUCACCUUGAACUUUGGAUCCUUUUUGCAGCAUACAUGCAUUGUUCUCUUACCUACAUAUCAACAUCAUAUUAACCAAACCAAACAACUAUAACAGCUACACUAUUGGGUGGGAAAAGAUUCUGUAAAUAUGAAAUGAAUUCUAGAACAAUUUGCUUUAUGUUUGAUAGGCCUCUUUUAGUUUGGAGUUGUGAGUACAUAUUCAUGAAUAUUAAAUAUAUAUGAUGGUAAGCGAAAUUAUUAGCAAAAUUUGACUUGUUUGUUUCAACUAGAUCAUUUAUUUAAUAUGAUAUUAUCUAUACCUAAAAACUAUAUGAAUAGAAUAGAUCAAAGUUUAUCAUUUUAUUUUGUUGUGUUUGAAAGCUUGAAUUAAGGAUACCGCGAUGGCGAGGGGCAGGGCACUUAAAUCCAUCGUUCUCAAGACGGAUGGUCUUCGGCAUCGGAACACCCGGCGGCUUAAUUCCGAAUUGCGUUCCUGUGAACUCCACCGUCGCUUGAAUCUGAUUAAUAUCACCAGCGGUUUCGAUCGACGUUUUCAGAUCCGUCAUUGGAUACCCAGCCAAAGUAGUCCCAUUCCCAACAUCCACAGGGAAAUCCGACCCAUCCAUCACCACCGCACCAUUUGCCGACACCAAAAUCUCAUGGUGAUGAAAUCCAAUAAACAUCUUCCAUGCCUUCAGCUCCGUCAAUCCCGCAUUCAAAAUCACCGCCUCCGACUUAAACGCCCAUGACUGAGCCGUGGCAUUCUUCAACCGUGGCAGCUCUUUCUCCCGCGAAAUAAACGUAUAAGACAAAAAUAUCCCAUUACAUUGAUUCUGCUCUGGGGGUGGCGCAGCCGGCUUGGCUUCAUCAUCAUCAUCGCCGCCGCCGCCGCCACCACCACCGCCAAUAAUGUAAUCUUGUGAAAAACAGAGAGAAAAAUUGGAAAAAAGAAGAAGGGAAAUGAGAAGAGAAACAGAGAAGAAAUGUGGCAUUGGAAACUGCAUGCCGGAAGGAUUAGAGAGAAAAAUUAGAAAUGGUUAUUGAAUGUUAUUCUUGUUUUUUUUUUUUUUUUUUGUGUGUGUGUUUUAGUUUAAUGGGGUUUGACGGCGCCGCGCGAGAACGCGGCGGAGGAAUGGGAGGAGGGGGGGUUUGGGGAAAACCGGAAAUGAGAAAAGAGGAAAAUUGUUAUAAAAGAGAGGAGGAGGAAGAAGAAGAAGAAGAAGACAGAGUCAGGUUUAUAUUUUGGCCUCUGGUUUUACCGCCAUUUUCGCUCCUUCCGGGGAAACCGACUUUGCUUGGUUCUUCUCUUCACCUAUAUAAACUCCAUAUAGACCUAAUAUUUUUUUAUUUCAAAACUUCUUUUUCUUUUUUUCUUUACUUUUAAUAAUGUAUACAUUACAUUACAUCCUCACCUUUUUAGAUCGAUGUUUGGAAUUUUCGAUUUCUAAAUAGUAGUUUGAACAUAGUUUAAUAAAUAAUAAUAGUGUUGGUGGAGAAAUUUUGACUAAUUAGAAAUUGUUGUGUUGUUAGUGUAUGUUAAUGAUUUAUAAAUUUGAGAUCAAUUGCAAAUUUCCUCUAGUUCUCAAAUUAAAUUAAAAAGUAGUGGAAUAUAUCGGCAAAUCAAAUGAUACUCUGCAGGUUUAAGCAUUCACCAAUGGAGUAAUGUCAGCCGUUGGUUUAGUUAAUUAUGUUACAUAUCGAAGAUAACUUAUUAGUUCGAGCUUACUAAUAUAGAUUUGGUUAAAUUUCAUUCAAGUCUAAUUUGAAAAGAUUGGAAACCAUGCUUAAGUCCUCUCUUGAAAUUAUAUGGGUGUGUUUGGGAAUUUUAGUUGAGUUACGUAAGUUUGUGUUUAGGGGUAAAGAGUUGGAGUAUGAAAUGAUUCGAUAAGGAUGCAAAUUUUAAUAAUGAACAGUAUUGAAGUUGGUAGCUAGAAUUGCAUUAUGUAACACCUACUUUAGGAAGUCGAUGCUUGUGUAUUUGGCUCACCAACAUAUAUGUGUUGAGAUGAAUUUGUAUAAUUUAUCAAUUCAUUGUUUGACCCACCAACUUUAAAUUAAUACUGACGAAGUACUUGAAUUGUUAUAUUUUAUCAACGCACCUCAAUUCUCUAUUCUUCCAAGGUUUUUAAUGCUCCAUUCGUUUACUUUGAAGACCACUUUUUUACUCAUCUAACUUCGAGCCCUUGACAACUUUGUGUAACCUUUGUUUCAUGAUUACACAAUAAAACCAUAACAUUGUAUAAAACAAUAAAUGCCAAGAUUUCUUAACUACAUGAUUUUCACAAACUAAAUUUAGUUACAGAAUCACAUACCUUAUCCAUGAAUGGUCUUCUAAGGGAUUGACCUUCCUUUAGAACUUAAUUAUUUUUCAUGAUGGAGAAGAGUAAACUACGUACUUGCGGUGAGAAAAUCAAUCCCUAAGGUUCUAUUUAUAGGCAUCACCCAUCAUGCAGUUUAAUUAGGGCAUUAUCUUUUUACCUAAUGAGCCUAAUAAAAUAGUAGGCCCCAAAAAGAUAAAAUAACAUAUAGCAUAUGAGCCCCAUUAAUAAUAAUAUUAUAUUUAAAAUAAAUCUAACAUUCUCUCACUUGCCCUAAUGACAUUAUAUACCAUAUACGUUCAUAGACAUAAUGCGCAAAAUUAAACUUCAUAGCAUAUCAUAUCAAGUCAAAGAAACUACUAAAGAAUCAUGACAGUCAUACAUCAUUGCAUUAACAUACUCCCUUCCAUGUAUUACUGAAAUAGUUCUUCAAUUAACAUGAUCUAUAAUAAAGAUAAUCAAUAAUUGUUCAACAAUAAGUGUCUUUAUCAAAGACAAUGUUCUGUUUAACAUAAUUCAUUUGUGUAUAUACUAAUCAUAAAAACAGAACCAUGAGAUAAAAUUAGAAACAAUAAAAAAAUGAGCUCAAAGUGUCAAAUAAUAUAAUCUUAAUUUUAGUAAUGAUAUCUACUAAUGUCCACACAUUUAACAUGAUCAUUGAAUGUCUUUGGGUGGCAAUCCUUUAGUGAGUAGAUUUGCAAUUAUAAGUUUAGUGCUAAUGUGUUUGAUUGUCACUCUUUGUUUCUGAACAACAAAGUAUUUUAAUUUCAUAAGUUUAGCACCUUUAGAAUACCUGUUGUUUUUUUAGAAGAAAACUAUUUCAUAAUUAUCACAAUAAAUUCUCAACGGCUUGACAAUACUAUCGACAAUCCAAAGUCUUGAGAUAAAGUUUUACAACUAUAAAACAUGAAUUAUAGCCUCAAAGCAUGCUACAAAAUUCAACCUAUAUAGUGGAUGCAACAAAAAUACACGGCUUCACACAUUUUAAUGAAAUUGCUCCUUCAGCUAAAUAGGAAUAAAAUAGCCAAAAGUGAAUUUUUGUGUAUCCACACACUCAGUAAAAUAUGAAUCGGAAUAUCCAAUCACCUUAAAAUGAUCGGAUCUCUUAUAAGUAAGCAUAUAGAACAAUGAUUAUAAUUAAACUUACUCCCGCUUAUCCUUAGGUAUUAUACAUCGAUCAAUGAUGUUUUCUUUAAAACCAAAAGAUGUGAUGGUAUCAUUGCACUUAAGAUACCAUUGUUUGGAAGCUUCUUUAGGUUCAUAUAUUGACCUCUUUAAUUUACACACCUUAUGUUCCUUUCCUUCAACCAUAAAACUUUCUUGAUGAUCCAUGAACACUUUGUCAUCUAAAUUAUUCCCAUUUAGAAAGACAAUUUUCGCAUCCAUUUGAUGAAGCUCUAAAUCAUAAUGAGCUACUAUAGUGAUAAUAAUAUUCUUAAUUAGUCCUUUCUUCGAGAUAGGAGAAAAUGUCUCUUUGUAGUCAAUGCCAUAUUUCUGAGUAUAACCUUUGGCAACAAGUCUAGCUUUGUGUUAUUCGAUAUUGCCAUUUGAGUCAAGUUUGGUUUUAAAGACCCGUUUACACCCAACUCUUUUACUUUUCCUUUAAGCAAUUUACAAGGUCCUAGACUUCUUUAUCAUUCAUUGAUUUUACUUUUUUCAUGGCAUCUAACAACUAAAUUGGCAUAAUUAUCUUCUUUAAUCGCCUAUGAAAACAAAAAUGGAUCAUUAUUAAUACUUAGGUCAAAUUCUGACUCAUGCAAAUAAACCAUAUAGUCAUCAGAAAUAGUUGAUAUUUUUUGUCUUACAUAUAUUCUUAACUCUAUUUCUUGUGGUCUCUUAGUUAUAGGUUUAUUUGUUAUAACAUCAUUAUGUGGUGUUUGACCAUUAAUUUAUUCUUCUUGACUCUGCUUGUAGAUUGUUAACAGAGUCAACAACUACAAGAACAACUUUAGAAGAAGUUAUAGAUGAAGGAAUUUCCACCCUAGCUUCUUAAAUUUUCACUUAACGUGGUUUCAAACUCUCACUAAUUACAUCAUUCCCAAUGAACCUUACAUGUCCAAUUUCAACUAUUCACAUACUAUGGUUAAGACAAUAAAAUCUCUACCCUUUUGAUUUUUCUUGAUAACCAAUGAAGACACCAUUGGUUGUUCUUGAGUCCAGUUUUCUUUCGUGUGGAUAAUAAAUUCUUACUUCCGCUUGACAACCCCAAACAUGCAGGUGUCUUAAACUAGGUCCUUACUAUCCAUAAUUUAAACGAUGUCUUUGGAAGUGACUUACUUGGAACCCUAAUUUUAAUAAAUAUUAAGCAUUUCUUAAUGCAUACAUCCACAAGGACACAAAUAAAGACAAAUUAUUUAACAUGCUUUUAACCAUAUUUAUUAAUGUAUGAUUACGCUUUUCUACAACACCAUUUUAUUGUGGUCUUCUUGGUAUUGUGUAUUGAGCACCUAUACCAUGACUUUAUAGGAAUUUAGCAAAUGGGUCAAAACAAUGUGUUUUCUCUUCAUACUUUCCAUAAAUUUUAUAAAAUUCUUGGCACUUUCAAUAUUGUAAUUAAUUGUGGACUUGAUAUUAUUUGCUACAUUCAUUAGCAUAAACUUUAGACUGAAUCUAUUUGAUCUUUCCAAGCUUUAUAGAAAGAUUUAUUCUCAUCACUGCUAGCAGAAGUAAGAGUUACAGGUUUCUCGCUUAAGAGUGUCAAAUCAAGAUUCAAAACUUCAAGAUGGAAUCAGAUUUGUUUAGACCAAAAAGAGAAAUUAAGUCUAUUAAACUUGAUUAACGAAAUAAAUAUACUUAUACAUUAUUGUUUUGAGAAAUAAACAUAAAAAUAUAACAUAGGUUCAAAUAAUAUUAAGCAACCAUUAAUAUAUACAUUGAAGUUCUUCUUGGAAAGAACAAUGUGCAAUAUUUAUACUUAACUAAUGUUAUAUUUAACUUUACAUAAUUGAUAAUUUAAAUGUUUAAAUUAGAUACAUUAGAAAUUUAACGUUCCUUCAUCUCCGAUCGUCUUGACAGUCAUCCAUUAGAAAUUAGAAAAAAAAAAAAAAAACAAUACAACCUGAUAACCCAACCCAACCCAUAUUUUACUGGUUGGAAUGUCUCCCAACCCAAUCCAACCCGAUUAUACCCCUACCUAUAAAGAUGUGAAAACCUUUCUCAACUAAAACAACUUUAGGCUCCCUCUAAAGAAGUGUAGUCUAUUAUAGAAUCAAGGUAGUCUCCAACAAACUACUUACAAUCAUUAUAUUCUAUUCUCUCAAAAUUUUGUUGAACGAACAAUCAAAAUUAUAUUAUCAUGUAUUUUUUUUUACUAUAAUGUUAGAUAAUAUAGUAAAACAUUUUCAAAUAGGUGUUAUUGUAGGAUGUGUGCUAAUACUUUCCCUACACUCAAUGAUCCCCAUACCUCUUUCUGGUCAAAUAAGAUUAGUUUUAAUUUAAAACAGGUGGCCAAUCACACUCUAAAUUGAUUGGUGGCGACUCCAAACCUUUUCCUUUGAAAUAGGCCCUAUAGUUAGGGGUGGGACAUGGACGACCAUUUAGAAUCGUGACAAAUAUGUUAUUGUCUCUUUUGAAAGGAAGCCUUUAUAACUCUAACUUUCUAAAGCCUCAAAUUAGUUAACCCAUUGAGAUAUUUAACAUUCAACAGGGAUAAAAUAAAUAAAUUGAACAAAAGAUCUAUAUCUUACUCUACCUACUUAUAGUUGAUCACUUAUUACUAGUCAUAUCAACUUCUAUAUAGUAGAGGAGAUCUAUUACUAACUAAUCUGGAGAUGUCUAACUAAACUUAAUCUUGACUCAAUAGUAAUAACAUGUGUGUAUUACAUGUAUAUCUUCCUUGGUGAAAUUUAUAUCAGCCCAAAAUAAACAGGUUCAAACAGCAAUUUCUAUAACUUGGGAGUAAAACUUUCUUUUAAUGAAUUUGAAUCGAAAGAUAGUCAAAUAGGGUGAACUUGUAUCGAUUGGCUUAAGUUUCCCAACCAAAUCGACUAUGGACUAUGGUUAUUGUAGUAUAUGGACUAUGAUUAUUGUAGUAAAUAUUCAAACUGACUCCGAUGCGAUUAUUGUUCAAUUUAGGUUGGUUUAAAGUUUUGAAAUUUAAAAAAAAUAUAUGACUUAGAUUUUUGUCGAACUAACAUCAAUCGAACUUCUCCUUAUUUUCAAGAGAUCACCUUCCAAAUUGAUCGAUUUUCAUCAUACUUAACCCUCGUUUCAAAUAUAAUUAUGAUUUAUGAGAGACUCUUAUCACCUUGGAUCGUAAUGAAGUUUUAAGAGUUCAAGUUAAACCCAUAAUGAAAUUUUAGGAAUCACAAUAGUUUAACAUUGGAUGGCAGAGCCACAGAGGAAGAGUAGUGUACAUCAAUCACAUUAUCAUAGAUUGAUUACGUUUCCUGUUGGGUUAAUCGUGACCAACAUUACCAAUUUGGAUGGGGUGGGGAGGAGAGAUAUUUUGGAAAGGCAUUUUUAUUAACAAAAUAAAAAAAAAGAAGAGAGGGAGAAAAAGGCAACUGAUAUUUUUUGUCUUUCCCCAAACCCUAUUGUGUUAUGAAAACACAAAAAAGCCAAACACAACCAUCGCCCCUUUUCGUUUACUGAAAACUCACUACAAACAAACAAACAGCACCAUAAAACCCAAAAGCAAAUAUUUCUUCCAAAUCAACAUCCGCCGGCUACUAAACACUUUAAGCAUCUGCAACUUCCGGUGACUCUCCCGCCGCCAGUAGCAACUCUUCCUCUUCAAGUCCAACCUUUCUUUCUCCCAUCUCUCCUUCAUCCCCAAUGCUGUUCGCCUCUCCCAAUGACUUUAGUGCCAAGUGUGCUGCCUUCUGCCCUGAUAUCAUCAUCGCCCCGAACGUUGGCCCCUAUGAAUGGCACAGUUUAAGACUAAUAAAUAUGGGUAUAACGAAAUCUUUCGGUGGUAGCAUCUAAUGCAGAUAGCUACCGGAGUAAACAAGUUAGUAGUGAUAGACCCAGAUAAACUCUGAAAAGUGUAAACUCAUCUAAAUGCUGCUAUAUUUUACUGUAUCAUGAUUAUUAAACGGUCUAAAGCAAUAAUCUCUCUCUAGUUAAUUUGUUUACCAUUCUUGGAGCUCCAUCGAUCUCCGCAACCUCCAUGCCGGUGACAAUCAUGCCAGGAACGACCUCUCGAGUGAAUCGAACAAUGGCAUCCUCAGCAGUGUUCAUGUCAAGGGCCUUCAUUCCCGGGACACUAUCAAUCAUGCCGAUGCUCUUGAGGCGCUUGACUCCGGUAGCGCCAAAAGGUCCAUCGUGGCCACAAGAGCUCACAACCACCUUAGCCUCCAUCACAUUGGGGUCCAUGCAGGACUGCGUGUCAUGGUUCAUUGACACAAGAGCCCAGUUGGUGACAACACCGCCAACUCUGCCGCCCUUGACAAUCAAAUCCUCUGCCGCCACGGCGUUGAACAGCUUCACGUUCGGCCGGGCCAAGAGCUUGCUCAUGAUCGUCGACGUGAACAGAGCCGCGUGCUUUAUCACGACAUAGUCGUCUUGCUCGUCAUACUCCACACCCACCUCAUCCAAGAACAAAUGAGCUGGCUUACGAACCACCUAUCAAACAUUAAAUUUAACCAACAUCAAUCAGAUGAACAAGAUCAGAAUAUUUGUCUGCGAUGAAAAUUAAUCUAAUUUUUUAGGGGAUCACAAGAUCUGUAAACUAUUUCCCCUCAAAUUAAUGAUUAUGAUAUUAGUUUCUGGGUUUCUUUAUUUCUGAUCUCUAUUAAAAAGAAAUGAUUUUUUUUAGUCCAAAUACGGCAUGCAUGAAAGCUGAUUGGGUGAUUUUCAAAAUUUUGGUAUUUUCAAGAAAAGAACAAAACAUAAAAUAAAAACAGAGCAUCCAUUCAAAUUUGGAAAGUGAACUUGUUACCAUAGCAGAGAAGAGUUGGCCGCCGAGCCAUGCACCGCCACCGGGGCUGACGGAUUGUUCGAUGAUGGCAAUACGAAUAUUGGGGUUUUUGCUGAGUUCGUAAGCGCAAGAGAGGCCGGCGGAGCCAGCGCCGACGAUGACAACGUCAGUAUCAGCGUAGGUGAUCAUAUCGGUCAUGUAUCGACGGGUCAUCUCUCGAGAGACAAUAGAUUCUCUGAUAGGGUUGAAUUUGAAUUGGUUUAAAUCGUAGGGAGGCUGAGAGGCGGAGGCAGAGAUGGUGAGGGACGUGGCGGCGGUGGAUUUGAGGCGGAGAGAAGAAGGAGAGGCGAGAGGUGUGCCAUGGAAAGAGGAAUCAUGAAGUAAAGAAGGUUUUUGGAGCUUGGUGGUGAGAGUGGAGGCAAUGGAAGCCAUUUUUGAAGCAGAGGAAAACAGAGGAGAUUGUAGUUUGGUGUGGGGAAGAAGAG
RNAcentral lists this long non-coding RNA (11800 nucleotides) under Cucumis sativus (cucumber). RNAcentral's name for it is "long non-coding RNA (CSAT_LNC000878)". Lineage: Eukaryota; Viridiplantae; Streptophyta; Magnoliopsida; Cucurbitales; Cucurbitaceae. The record is from RNAcentral.